This 1320-nucleotide ribosomal RNA is filed under the name Biatora ocelliformis. RNAcentral describes it as "LSU rRNA". It matches the Rfam family "Eukaryotic large subunit ribosomal RNA", at positions 1 to 1119 of the family's 3401-position model. The record is from RNAcentral. Lineage: Eukaryota; Fungi; Ascomycota; Lecanoromycetes; Lecanorales; Ramalinaceae.
AAUUGACCUCGGAUCAGGUAGGGAUACCCGCUGAACUUAAGCAUAUCAAUAAGCGGAGGAAAAGAAACCAACAGGGAUUGCCUCAGUAACGGCGAGUGAAGCGGCAGCAGCUCAAAUUUGAAAUCUGGCCCUUUCAGGGUCCGAGUUGUAAUUUGUAGAAGAUGUUUCGGGCGCGGUGCCGGUCUAAGUCCCUUGGAACAGGGCGUCGCAGAGGGUGAGAAUCCCGUAUGUGACCGGCGGCCAACCCCAUGUGAAACUCUUUCGACGAGUCGAGUUGUUUGGGAAUGCAGCUCAAAAUGGGUGGUAAAUUUCAUCUAAAGCUAAAUACCGGCCAGAGACCGAUAGCGCACAAGUAGAGUGAUCGAAAGAUGAAAAGCACUUUGGAAAGAGAGUUAAAAAGUACGUGAAAUUGUUGAAAGGGAAGCGCUCGCCACCAGACCUGCCCACGGACGAUCAGCGGUAGUUCUCUGCCGUGCACUCGUGCGUGACCAGGCCAGCAUCGGUUUCGGCGGCCGGAUAAAGAUCCUUGGAAUGUGGCUCCCUUCGGGGGGUGUUAUAGCCUUGGGUGCCAUACGGCCAGCUGGGACCGAGGACCGCGCUUCGGCUAGGAUGCUGGCGUAAUGGUUGUGAGCGACCCGUCUUGAAACACGGACCAAGGAGUCUAACAUCUAUGCGAGUGUUUGGGUGUGAAACCCAUACGCGCAAUGAAAGUAAACGGAGGUGGGAACCCUUCAGGGCGCACCAUCGACCGAUCCAGAAGUUUACGGAUGGAUUUGAGUACGAGCAUAGCUGUUGGGACCCGAAAGAUGGUGAACUAUGCCUGAAUAGGGUGAAGCCAGAGGAAACUCUGGUGGAGGCUCGCAGCGGUUCUGACGUGCAAAUCGAUCGUCAAAUUUGGGUAUAGGGGCGAAAGACUAAUCGAACCAUCUGCAACGGAACCUCUCUGGAUGGUUCGGAUCAGGCUGGCGGGCCAGCCUGAAGAGUCCUCCUCGGAGGGCCACAUCGCUAGUCUCUGGGCAUGCCUGCGGGCGACCUACAGCGGGGGUUGUGCCCCCGUUCACAGACUAAACGGCGGUGGUCGCGGGGCGGACGCCGCCCGGCGAUUGGGAGAUAGUCGGUUCCUCCCGGGCUGCGGGAGGCGCAAAAGAGUAGCUGGUUCCUGCCGAAGUUUCCCUCAGGAUAGCAGUAACGUUUUCAGUUUUAUGAGGUAAAGCGAAUGAUUAGAGGCCUUGGGGUUGAAACAACCUUAACCUAUUCUCAAACUUUAAAUAUGUAAGAAGUCCUUGUUACUUAGUUGAACGUGGACAUUUGAAUGCACCG